GCAGUCGAGCGGAACGAUCCUAGCUUGCUAGGAGGCGUCGAGCGCCGGACGGGUGAGUAAUGCAUAUGAAUCUGCCCGGUAGUGGGGGAUAACCUGGGGAAACCCCGGCUAAUACCGCAUACGCCCUACGGGGGAAAGCAGGGGAUCUUCGGACCUUGCGCUAUCGGAUGAGCCUAUGUCGGAUUACCUAGUUGGGGGGGUGACGGCUCACCCAGGCUGCGAUCCGUAGCUGGUCUGACAAGAUGAUCAACCACAUCGGGA
RNAcentral lists this ribosomal RNA (261 nucleotides) under Halomonas saccharevitans. RNAcentral describes it as "partial 16S ribosomal RNA". It matches the Rfam family "Bacterial small subunit ribosomal RNA", at positions 60 to 318 of the family's 1533-position model. The record is from RNAcentral. Lineage: Bacteria; Pseudomonadati; Pseudomonadota; Gammaproteobacteria; Oceanospirillales; Halomonadaceae.